AGGAAGGAUAUAAAAACUACUGUAAGUCUGGCCUUGUGGGGGACUCUUUACCCCAUCUCAAUGUCUAUGCUGAGAGCUUUGUACUUUCUUCCUCUUUAAAAAAUCCUAUUCACUUGCUACUGUGAGUGUUUGUGGAUUUCCUUCUUCGGAUCUGAGGGCAAGAACUCAGUUCCCAUUUCAUUAACAUACAUACAUACUUGCUUUCAAGGAUAUAAUUUGGAAAUAGAACUUUUCCUAGUUUGUUGUGAAGAGGAAGUAUGUAUUUGGUUCAUCCCUAAUCUUUUACAGUCUUUUGGGGAAGAUAUAACUUCAGUCAUCAUGGGUCAUGGUACCACAUUAAGCAUCUUUGAAGCACAUCAGCUACUCCUAGGAAGUCAGUAUAGAGUGGUAAAGAGUAGAUGCUCUGCGAUCCAGAAACCUGAGUUAAAACUACUUGGACCUUGGGCAGGCCACCUCAAAAUAUGCCCCAGUGUCAUAUUGAUUAUUUUGAAUUAAAGUUAUUAAAGGAGUGGUGGGUGCCAGAGGGACCUUUGAACCUCCUCUCAGUGUCCCUGAAACCAGGAACUAAAGCUCCCAUGUGAAAGGUACCCUCCCUGUACUAGAAAGUAGAAAGACAUCCUUAUCACUAGAGACAGGCAGAGAAAUAUGUAUAAACAAAACUUGUUAUUUAACUUACUACCUACUUCGAACCCAGAGCUGACUGUGGCUCAGAUCAUGAAUUCCUUAUUGCCAAGUUCAGACUUAAAUUGAAGAAAGUAAGGAAAACCACUCGACCAUUCAGGUAUGACCUAAAUCAAAUCCCUUAUGAUUAUACAGUGGAAGUGACAAGUAGAUUCAAGGGAUUAGAUCUGAUAGACAGAGUGCCUGAAGAACUAUGGAUAGAAGUUUGUGACAUUGUACAGAAAGCAGUGAUCAAGACCAUCCCCAAGAAAAAGAAAUGCAAAAACAGCAAAUGGUUGUCUGAGGAGGCCUUACAAAUAGCUGAGAAAAGAAGAGAAGGGAAAGGCAAAGGAGAAAAGGAAAGAUAUACCCAUCUGAAUGCAGAGUUCCAAAGAAUAGCAAGGAGAGGUAAGAAAGCCUUCCUCAGUGAACAAUGCAAAGAAAUAAGGAAAAGAGAAGAAAUCUGUUCAAGAAAACUCAAGAUACCAAGGUAACAUUUCAUGCAAAGAUGGGCACAAUAAAGGUCAGAAAUGGUAUGGACCUAAUAGAAGCAUGAGAUAUUAAGAAGAGGUGGCAAGAAUACACAGAAGUAUACAAAAAAAUCUUCAUGACCCAGAUAACCAUGAUGGUGUGAUCACUCACCUUGAGCCAGACAUCCUGGAAUACGAAGUCAAGUGGGCCUUACACAGCAUCACUGUGAGAAAGCUAGUGGAGGUGAUGGAAUUCCAGUUGAGCUAUUUCAAAUCCUGAAGGAUGAUGCUGUGAAAGUGUUGCACUCAAUAUGCCAGCAAAUUUGUAAAACUCGGCAGUGGCCACAGGACUGGUAAAGUCUUCAUUUCAAUCUCAAAGAAAGGCAAUGCCAAAGAAUGUUCAAACUACCACACAAUUGCACUCAUUUCACAUGCUAGCAAAGUAAUGCUCAAAAUUCUCCAAGCCAGGCUUCAACAGUAUGUGAACCAUGAACUUCCAGAUGUUCAAGCUGGAUUUAGAAAAGGCAGAGGAACCAGAGAUCAAAUUGCCAUCAUCUAUUGGAUUGUUGAAAAAGCAAGAGAGUUCCAUAAAAAGUCUACUUCUGCUUCAUUGACUAUGCUAAAGCCUUUGAUUCUGUGGAUCACAACAAACCGUGGAAAAUUCUUAAAGAAAUGGGAAUACCAGACCACUUUAUCUGCCUUCUCAGAAAUCUGUAUGAAGGUCGAGAAGCAACAGUUAGAACUGGACAUGGAACAAGAGAGUGGUUCCAAAUCAGAAAAGGAGUACGUCAAGUCUCCUUUAUUGUCACCCUUAUUAUUUAACUUAUAUGCAGAGUAUAUCAUGUGAAAUGCUGGGCUGGAUGUGGUACAAGCUGGAAUCAAGAUUGCAGGGAGAAAUAUCAAUAACUUCAGAUAUGCAGAUGACACCACCCUUAUGGCAGAAAGUGAAGAAGAACUAAAGAGCCUCUUAAUGAAAGUGAAAGAGGAGAGUGAAAAAGUUGUUUUAAAACUCAGCAUUCAGAAAACUAAAAUCAUGGCAUCUGGUCCCAUCACUUCAUGGCAAAUAGAUGGGGAAGCAAUGGAAACAGUGAGAGACUUUAUUUUCUUGGGCUCCAGAAUCACUGCAAAUGGUGACUGCAGCCAUGAAAUUAAAAGACGCUUGCUCCUUGGAAGAAAAGUUAUGACCCACCU
Molecule: long non-coding RNA, 2321 nt
Organism: Bos taurus (domestic cattle)
Lineage: Eukaryota; Metazoa; Chordata; Mammalia; Artiodactyla; Bovidae
Source: Ensembl